Molecule: ribosomal RNA, 451 nt
Filed under: Gemella haemolysans
Lineage: Bacteria; Bacillati; Bacillota; Bacilli; Caryophanales; Gemellaceae
Description: bacterial SSU rRNA
Rfam family: Bacterial small subunit ribosomal RNA
Source: RNAcentral
GACGAACGCUGGCGGCGUGCCUAAUACAUGCAAGUCGAGCGAAGUUUUUCUGGUGCUUGCACUAGAAAAACUUAGCGGCGAACGGGUGAGUAACACGUAAAGAACCUGCCUCAUAGACUGGGACAACUAUUGGAAACGAUAGCUAAUACCGGAUAACAGCAUUAACUGCAUGGUUGAUGUUUAAAAGUUGGUUAUGCUAACACUAUGAGAUGGCUUUGCGGUGCAUUAGCUAGUUGGUGGGGUAAAGGCCUACCAAGGCGACGAUGCAUAGCCGACCUGAGAGGGUGAUCGGCCACACUGGGACUGAGACACGGCCCAGACUCCUACGGGAGGCAGCAGUAGGGAAUCUUCCGCAAUGGGCGAAAGCCUGACGGAGCAACGCCGCGUGAGUGAAGAAGGAUUUCGGUUCGUAAAGCUCUGUUGUUAGGGAAGAAUGAUUGUGUAGUAACUA